RNAcentral lists this non-coding RNA (65 nucleotides) under Janthinobacterium sp. Marseille. Its description in RNAcentral is "Betaproteobacteria toxic small RNA". It matches the Rfam family "Betaproteobacteria toxic small RNA". Rfam says of the family: Overexpression in amino aid rich medium attenuates growth, suggesting role in repressing amino acid intake and metabolism. Lineage: Bacteria; Pseudomonadati; Pseudomonadota; Betaproteobacteria; Burkholderiales; Oxalobacteraceae. The record is from Rfam by way of RNAcentral.
UGUCUCCUCUAUGUCUCCUCCUUUGAUAUAGAUUCAGCCCGCCUCCUUUGAGCGGGCUUUUUUUU